UUCCCCCACGGAGAUGGCAUGCCUCCGACAACCGCCGCGCCCGCGCGGCUGAUGAUGCCUACGCAACA
Molecule: non-coding RNA, 68 nt
Filed under: Nitrosovibrio sp. Nv17
Lineage: Bacteria; Pseudomonadati; Pseudomonadota; Betaproteobacteria; Nitrosomonadales; Nitrosomonadaceae
Description: Nitrosovibrio sp. Fluoride sequence
Rfam family: Fluoride riboswitch aptamer (crcB RNA motif)
Source: Rfam by way of RNAcentral